Molecule: ribosomal RNA, 377 nt
Filed under: uncultured bacterium
Lineage: Bacteria
Description: bacterial SSU rRNA
Rfam family: Bacterial small subunit ribosomal RNA
Source: RNAcentral
AUUGAACGCUGGCGGAAUGCUUUACACAUGCAAGUCGAACGGUAGAGGGGGCAACCCCUUGAGAGUGGCGAACGGGUGAGUAAUAUAUCGGAACGUGCCCAGUCGUGGGGAUAACGUAGCGAAAGUUACGCUAAUACCGCAUACGAUCUAAGGAUGAAAGCGGGGGACUCGCAAGAGCCUCGCGCGAUUGGAGCGGCCGAUAUCAGAUUAGGUAGUUGGUGGGGUAAAGGCUCACCAAGCCAACGAUCUGUAGCUGGUCUGAGAGGACGACCAGCCACACUGGAACUGAGACACGGUCCAGACUCCUACGGGAGGCAGCAGUGGGGAAUUUUGGACAAUGGGCGCAAGCCUGAUCCAGCAAUGCCGCGUGCAGGAUG